This 253-nucleotide ribosomal RNA is filed under the name uncultured bacterium. RNAcentral's name for it is "partial 16S ribosomal RNA". It matches the Rfam family "Bacterial small subunit ribosomal RNA", at positions 524 to 776 of the family's 1533-position model. The record is from RNAcentral.
UACAUGGGGUGCAAACGUUGCUCGGAAUUAUUGGGCGUAAAGCGCACGUAGGCGGUUCGUUAAGUCGGAUGUGAAAGCCCUCGGCUCAACUGAGGAAGUGCACCCGAAACUGGCGAGCUUGAGUACGAAAGAGGAUCGCGGAAUUUCCGGUGUAGAGGUGAAAUUCGUAGAUAUCGGGAGGAACACCGGUGGCGAAGGCGGCGAUCUGGGUCGAUACUGACGCUGAGGUGCGAAAGCGUGGGGAGCAAACAGG